Molecule: ribosomal RNA, 433 nt
Filed under: uncultured bacterium
Lineage: Bacteria
Description: bacterial SSU rRNA
Rfam family: Bacterial small subunit ribosomal RNA
Source: RNAcentral
ACGAACGCUGGCGGCAUGCCUAACACAUGCAAGUCGAACGCAUGUAGCAAUACAUGAGUGGCGAACGGGUGAGUAACGCGUGGGAACCUGCCUAGUGGUAGGGAAUAACCGCGGGAAACUGCGGCUAAUACCCUAUGAGCCCUCCGGGGGAAAGAUUUAUCGCCAUUAGAGGGGCCCGCGUCGGAUUAGCUAGUUGGUGGGGUAACGGCCCACCAAGGCAACGAUCCGUAGCUGGUCUGAGAGGAUGAUCAGCCACACUGGGACUGAGAUACGGCCCAGACUCCUACGGGAGGCAGCAGUGGGGAAUAUUGGACAAUGGGGGCAACCCUGAUCCAGCAAUGCCGCGUGAGUGAAGAAGGCCUUAGGGUUGUAAAGCUCUUUCGGCGGGGAAGAUGAUGACGGUACCCGCAGAAGAAGCCCCGGCUAACUUCGU